This 502-nucleotide ribosomal RNA is filed under the name uncultured bacterium. RNAcentral describes it as "partial 16S ribosomal RNA". It matches the Rfam family "Bacterial small subunit ribosomal RNA", at positions 30 to 523 of the family's 1533-position model. The record is from RNAcentral.
AUUGAACGCUGGCGGCAGGCUUAACACAUGCAAGUCGAGCGGGGUGAUGGUGCUUGCACUAUCACUUAGCGGCGGACGGGUGAGUAAUGCUUAGGAAUCUGCCUAUUAGUGGGGGACAACAUCUCGAAAGGGAUGCUAAUACCGCAUACGUCCUACGGGAGAAAGCAGGGGAUCACUUGUGACCUUGCGCUAAUAGAUGAGCCUAAGUCGGAUUAGCUAGUUGGUGGGGUAAAGGCCUACCAAGGCGACGAUCUGUAGCGCGUCUGAGAGGAUGAUCCGCCACACUGGGACGGAGACACGGCCCAGACUCCUACGGGAGGCAGCAGUGGGGAAUAUUGGACAAUGGGGGGAACCCUGAUCCAGCCAUGCCGCGUGUGUGAAGAAGGCCUUAUGGUUGUAAAGCACUUUAAGCGAGGAGGAGGCUCUUUUGGUUAAUACCCAAGAUGAGUGGACGUUCUCGCAGAAUAAGCACCGGCUAACUCUGUGCCAGCCGCCGCCGUAA